Molecule: ribosomal RNA, 279 nt
Filed under: uncultured bacterium
Lineage: Bacteria
Description: partial 16S ribosomal RNA
Rfam family: Bacterial small subunit ribosomal RNA
Source: RNAcentral
GAUGAACGCUAGCGGCAGGCCUAAUACAUGCAAGUCGAACGAGAUUAAGAGGCUUGCUCCUUAUGAAAGUGGCGCACGGGUGCGUAACGCGUAUGCAACCUACCUUAAUCAGGGGGAUAGCCCGAAGAAAUUCGGAUUAAGACCGCAUAAAAACACAGGAUAGCAUUAUCCAAUGUUCAAAUAUUUAUAGGAUUAAGAUGGGCAUGCGUGUCAUUAGCUAGUUGGCGGGUAACGCCACAAGGCGACGAUGACUAGGGGAUCUGAGAGGAUGACCCCCCA